CGUGUAGGCGGCUCGGCUAGUCUGGUGUGAAAACGCUACCGCUCAACGGAGCGAAUGCGCUGGAUACUGCCGAACUUGAGUGUGAGAGAGGCGGGCAGAAUACCUGGUGUAGCGGUGGAAUGCUUAGAGAUCAGGUAGAAUACCCGAGGCGAAGGCGGCCCGCUGGCUCACUACUGACGCUAAGGCGCGAAAGCGUGGGGAUCAAACG
RNAcentral lists this ribosomal RNA (208 nucleotides) under uncultured bacterium. RNAcentral describes it as "partial 16S ribosomal RNA". It matches the Rfam family "Bacterial small subunit ribosomal RNA", at positions 568 to 774 of the family's 1533-position model. The record is from RNAcentral.